GUCUAUAGCCAUGCCACCCUGAACAAGCCUGAUGGCUAAUCUCAGAAGCUAAGCAAGGUCGGGCCUGGUUAGUACUUGGAUGGGAGGUCACCUAGGAAGACCAGGUGCUGUAGGUA
Molecule: non-coding RNA, 116 nt
Organism: Pteropus alecto (black flying fox)
Lineage: Eukaryota; Metazoa; Chordata; Mammalia; Chiroptera; Pteropodidae
Source: Rfam